AAGACCUUGCGCUUUUGGAGCGGCCGAUGUCUGAUUAGCUUGUUGGUAAGGUAAAAGCUUACCAAGGCUUCGAUCAGUAGCUGGUCUGAGAGGACGACCAGCCACACUGGGACUGAGACACGGCCCAGACUCCUACGGGAGGCAGCAGUGGGGAAUUUUGGACAAUGGGCGCAAGCCUGAUCCAGCCAUGCCGCGUGAGUGAAGAAGGCCUUCGGGUUGUAAAGCUCUUUCAGCCGGGAAGAAAAGGUUGCGAUUAAUAAUCGCAAUUGAUGACGGUACCGGAAGAAGAAGCACCGGCUAACUACGUGCCAGCAGCCGCGGUAAUACGUAGGGUGCGAGCGUUAAUCGGAAUUACUGGGCGUAAAGGGUGCGCAGGCGGUUUUGUAAGUCAGAUGUGAAAUCCCCGGGCUUAACCUGGGAACU
RNAcentral lists this ribosomal RNA (423 nucleotides) under uncultured bacterium. RNAcentral describes it as "bacterial SSU rRNA". It matches the Rfam family "Bacterial small subunit ribosomal RNA", at positions 207 to 622 of the family's 1533-position model. The record is from RNAcentral.